CAGUCGCCGCGGGAAUACGGAGGGCGCGAGCGUUACCCGGAUUUACUGGGCGUAAAGGGCGUGUAGGCGGCCUGGGACGUCCCAUGUGAAAGGCCACGGCUCAACCGUGGAGGAGCGUAGGAUACGCUCAGGCUAGAGGGUGGGAGAGGGUGGUGGAAUUCCCGGAGUAGCGGUGAAAUGCGCAGAUACCGGGAGGAACGCCGAUGGCGAAGGCAGCCACCUGGUCCACUUCUGACGCUGAGGCGCGAAAGCGUGGGGAGCAAACAGGAUUAGAUACCCCGGUAGUCCCUGUCUCUUAUAC
RNAcentral lists this ribosomal RNA (301 nucleotides) under uncultured bacterium. Its description in RNAcentral is "partial 16S ribosomal RNA". It matches the Rfam family "Bacterial small subunit ribosomal RNA", at positions 509 to 807 of the family's 1533-position model. The record is from RNAcentral.